RNAcentral lists this small nuclear RNA (103 nucleotides) under Myotis brandtii (Brandt's bat). The record is from RNAcentral. Lineage: Eukaryota; Metazoa; Chordata; Mammalia; Chiroptera; Vespertilionidae.
GUGCUCCUUAAGCAGCACACACACCAAAAUCGGAACAACACUGAGAUUAGCAUGGUCCCUGCGCAAGGAUGACACGCAAACUCAUGAAGCAUUCCAUGAUUUU